Molecule: RNA transcript, 1326 nt
Organism: Ziziphus jujuba (common jujube)
Lineage: Eukaryota; Viridiplantae; Streptophyta; Magnoliopsida; Rosales; Rhamnaceae
Exons: 6
Source: RefSeq, a predicted model, not a curated record
GGGGUCAUAUUUGUCCCAAGCUCGAAGGUCUCUCUCGCUGGCGUCUCCCUCCCGCCGGUGUCUCUGGCUAUAUCAUUUUUGCCGGACUGUUUGCGUCUCUCGUAGGAGUGGAAACUGCCGGGCUUGAUAUUUAUGAGGAAGAAGGCUUAAUUUUGGAGGCUUAAACUAGAGCUAAAGCAUCCGAUUUGGAAGGGCUUGAUAUUCACGAGGAAGAAGGCUUAAUUUUGGAGGCUUAAAUUAGAGCUAAAGCAUCCGAUUUGGAAGAAAUUGAGGUUGGAAGUAGCAGUCAUGAUAUCCGAGGGGUCGAAUCUAGACGAAUAUGGAGUAAAAGGGAGGAAGAUGCUUUGCUGCUUAUUUUAGAUGAGGUUGUAGCUAGUGGGCAGCAGUGUGAUACAGGAUCAUUCAAGCCUGGCACAAGGGCUAUGAUUGAGAGGCGAUUAGCUGAGAUAUGUCCUAAUUCGGGAUUGCGAGCAAAUCCACACAUUGAGUCAAAAUUGAAAAAGUGGAAGAAGCAAUACGGUAUAAUAUACGAUAUGCUAAACAAAAGUGGGUUUGGAUGGAAUGACUCUCUUAAAUGUGUGGAAGUUGAUAGUGACGAAGUUUGGAAAGCAUAUGCGCAGAGUAAUCCAAGUGCAAAGGGAUGGAGAGGUAAAUCGUUUCUGAUGUAUGAGAGGCUUGCUACAAUUUUUGGAAAGGAUCGGACAACAGGACAUGGAGCACAAACUCCGAUUGAUAUGGUCAAUGAUUUGAAUUUGAAUAGUGGGAAUGAACAAUUUAAUGAUGUGUGUUCUCCUAUGUCUAUGAAUGAAAUACAUAGUGAACCAUCCACCCGACCUAAAUCAAGAGGAAUAUUCAAUGGCAAGGAGAAGAAUUUAUGUUGUAUUUAAAGGUAGACAACCAGGGAUAUAUAAUUCUUGGCCUGAAUGUCAUCAACAAGUUCAAGGAUUUAAGGAUAAUUUAUAUCAAGCCUAUAAUACAACCGAAGAAACUGAAAUAGCAUAUGCUGAGUAUGUAGAACAAAUGAUGAGGAAUUUAAAUGAAGCAAAUCCAAUACAACAUAUCACCACACUUACACAUGUCAACUUGAACAAUGAGUGGCGUAAUGGUUGUAUAAUCGGCUAUUUGUUUAGAUUAUUAUCAAUGGGUGUUUUUAUUUAUUUCGCAUAUAACUAGUUAUCGGUGUAAACUCAAAUAUAUACAUUUGUAUGCAGACAAGUAUGUGAAAUCGUAGUUAUUAAUACUUUCUUAAUUAAAUAUGAUGUUAUGUUUUUUUAUUUGUACAUAUGAUUUAAUAUAUUAUGAUAUCAAUUUAUUUGGUUUUUUAAA